AGCGCAGACGGUUAUUUAAGCAAGAUGUGAAAGCCCCGGGCUCAACCUGGGAACUGCGUUCUGAACUGGGUAACUAGAGUGUGUCAGAGGGGGUAGAAUUCCACGUGUAGCAGUGAAAUGCGUAGAGAUGUGGAGGAAUACCGAUGGCGAAGGCAGCCCCCUGGGAUAACACUGACGUUCAUGCUCGAAAGCGUGGGUAGCAAACA
This 206-nucleotide ribosomal RNA is filed under the name uncultured bacterium. Its description in RNAcentral is "partial 16S ribosomal RNA". It matches the Rfam family "Bacterial small subunit ribosomal RNA", at positions 568 to 774 of the family's 1533-position model. The record is from RNAcentral.